UACGUAGGUGGCAAGCGUUGUCCGGAUUUACUGGGCGUAAAGGGAGCGUAGGCGGAUAUUUAAGUGGGAUGUGAAAUCCCCGGGCUCAACCCGGGUGCUGCAUUCCAAACUGGAUAUCUAGAGUGCAGGAGAGGAAAGGAGAAUUCCUAGUGUAGCGGUGAAAUGCGUAGAGAUUAGGAAGAAUACCAGUGGCGAAGGCGCCUUUCUGGACUGUAACUGACGCUGAGGCUCGAAAGCGUGGGGAGCAAAC
This 250-nucleotide ribosomal RNA is filed under the name uncultured prokaryote. RNAcentral describes it as "partial 16S ribosomal RNA". It matches the Rfam family "Bacterial small subunit ribosomal RNA", at positions 524 to 773 of the family's 1533-position model. The record is from RNAcentral.